UUUCCGUAGGUGAACCUGCGGAAGGAUCAUUAAAAAAUUGGACUCCAUUGGUGAGUUCAUUAAUAAUCCCUACCCUUUGUGAAUUUGUUUGUUUGAAUAAUUUUUUUUCCAAAAAAAAUUAUUGAAUGUCUUUCCUUGUUUUGGUGGAGCUUGUAAAGUGAAACCAGGCAGGGGAAUGGCAAACAAUAAUUAUUUUUGAAAAAGACCUUUUUUUAAAAUUAAACUUUUUGUAUUCAUUUGUCUAAAAUUAAUUUUUAUAAUAUAAAAACAACUUUUGACAAUGGAUCUCUUGGUUCUCGCAACGAUGAAGAACGCAGCAAAAUGCGAUAAGUAGUGUGAAUUGCAGAAUACGUGAAUCAUCGAAUCUUCGAACGCAUAUUGCACUUUUUUAGUUUACUAAAAAAGUAUGUCUGUUUGAGUAUCAGUAAAAUAUUCUCAUAAAAAACAUUGUUUUUUUUAUGGUUAUGAGUGUUUUACAACGAUAACAAGUUGUUUCACUUUAAAUUCUUUGUUAUCAAAAAAAUCAUUAAAAGCUAAUUUUAAAGAUUUUUUAAAAUUGGAUAAAAUUUUCCCGUAAAAAGGAAUAACCUAAACAAUUUUAAAAAAUUAAAAUUGGUUUGAUUUUUUUGAAACCCAAAGGAAAAAAAAACGAAAUUAACUUGAUCUCAAAUCAGAUAAGAGUACCCGCUGAACUUAAGCAUACCAAUAAGCGGAGGAAAAGAAACUAACUAGGAUUCCCUCAGUAACGGCGAGUGAAGCGGGAAGAGCUCAAAUUUGAAAUCUUCAAGGUUUUACCUUGACGAAUUGUAGUUUAAAGAAGUGUUUUCUGUUGGAGUUUUGGUAAAAGUUCUUUGGAAAAGGACAUCAUAGAGGGUGAGAAUCCCGUAUUUGACCAUUAUCUCCAGCUUUGUGAUACACUUUCAAAGAGUCGGAUUGUUUGGGAAUGCAGUCCAAAAUGGGUGGUAAAUUUCAUCUAAAGCUAAAUACUGGCGAGAGACCAAUAGCGAACAAGUACCGUGAGGGAAAGAUGAAAAGAACUUUGAAAAGAGAGUUAAACAGUACGUGAAAUUGUCAAAAGGGAAGCGUUUGACACCAGUGUUGUUUUCUCGAAAAUCAAUUAAAAAAGGCCGGAUUUUGUGUUGUAUUGACUUUAUCAGCUUUCUGCACUCUUUUCUUGUCUUUUUUAAUGCACUUUUCGUUUAACAAGUCAACAUCAAUUUCUUUUGUUGUAAAAGGGUCAUUGGAAGGUGGCUUUCUUUUCGGAGAAAGUGUUUAUAGCCUUUGGCCUCUGCAAUCGGAGAGAUUGAGGUCUGCAGCGUAGAUCCUUCGGGGUUAGAUACAUUUGUGCUAAGUUAUAGCCUUUCAUAGACAACUUGUUGACUAUGAUCAGUCAUGUAGCUUACUCGCUUAUGCUAUUUUACCUACGCUUAGGAUGUUG
This 1438-nucleotide unclassified non-coding RNA is filed under the name uncultured Neocallimastigales. Its description in RNAcentral is "partial contains small subunit ribosomal RNA, internal transcribed spacer 1, 5.8S ribosomal RNA, internal transcribed spacer 2, and large subunit ribosomal RNA". The stretch from base 661 to 1438 matches the Rfam family "Eukaryotic large subunit ribosomal RNA", at positions 1 to 628 of the family's 3401-position model. The record is from RNAcentral. Lineage: Eukaryota; Fungi; Neocallimastigomycota; Neocallimastigomycetes; Neocallimastigales.